GCUUAACACAUGCAGUCGAACGAAGUAGCAAUACUUAGUGGCGAACGGGUGAGUAUAAUGUGGGAAUCUGCCUUUUGGUUUGGAAUAACACGGGGAAACUUGUGCUAAUACCGGAUAAGCCUUCACAGGGAAAGCUUUAGCGCCAGAAGAUGAGCCCACACUUGAUUAGCUAGUUGGUAAGGUAAUGGCUUACCAAGGCUACGAUCAAUAGCUGAUCUGAGAGGAUGAUCAGCCACAUUGGGACUGAGACACGGCCCAAACUCCUACGGGAGGCAGCAGUGGGGAAUCUUGCACAAUGGGGGAAACCCUGAUGCAGCGAUGCCGCGUGAGUGAAGAAGGCCUUUGGGUUGUAAAGCUCUUUCGUCGGGGAAGAAAAUGACUGUACCCGAAUAAGAAGGUCCGGCUAACUUCGUGCCAGCAGCCGCGGUAAUACGAAGGGACCUAGCGUAGUUCGGAAUUACUGGGCUUAAAGAGCUCGUAGGUGGUCAGAAAAGUUGGUGGUGAAAUCCCAAGGCUUAACCUUGGAACUGCCACUAAAACUUUUUGACUAGAGUAUGAUAGAGGAAAGUGGAAUUUCUAGUGUAGAGGUGAAAUUCGUAGAUAUUAGAAAGAACACCGAUUGCGAAGGCAACUUUCUGGAUCAUUACUGACACUGAGGAGCGAAAGCAUGGGUAGCGAAGAGGAUUAGAUACCCUCGUAGUCCAUGCCGUAAACGAUGUGUGCUAGACGUUGGAAACUUAGUUUUCAGUGUCGCAGCAAAAGCGUUAAGCACACCG
RNAcentral lists this ribosomal RNA (776 nucleotides) under alpha proteobacterium SCGC AAA003-D21. Its description in RNAcentral is "SSU rRNA". It matches the Rfam family "Bacterial small subunit ribosomal RNA", at positions 46 to 871 of the family's 1533-position model. Lineage: Bacteria; Pseudomonadati; Pseudomonadota; Alphaproteobacteria. The record is from RNAcentral.